RNAcentral lists this long non-coding RNA (205 nucleotides) under Brachypodium distachyon (stiff brome). Its description in RNAcentral is "long non-coding RNA (BDIS_LNC000807)". The record is from RNAcentral. Lineage: Eukaryota; Viridiplantae; Streptophyta; Magnoliopsida; Poales; Poaceae.
CGAUUAAUCCAACACUUGGAAGAAAACAUCCGGCGAAAUCAAUCAAAACAACCCAGAAAAUCGAUCUAAACUAAUUGACGAAUCCCUAAGAGAGGCAAACAUGAAGAGGACACUAUCAGGGCCGGCUUUGAGGAGCAGUGGAGGGGAUUUGCGAUGGAGAAUUCCAGAAAUCGUGGUAGAUUGGGUUGAAACAACCAGCCGUGAA